GCCUUGAAAUCAAUUAUUACUUUAUAUACACAUGCAAGUCUCCGCACCCCUGUGAAAACGCCCUUAAAACCCCUUUAGGGAUAAGGAGCUGGUAUCAGGCACAAACUAUGCCCAAGACACCUAGCUACGCCACACCCACAAGGGAAUUCAGCAGUGAUUAACAUUGAAUAUAAGCGACAGCUUGAUUCAGUUAUAGUACACAGAGCCGGCUAAUCUGGUGCCAGCCGCCGCGGUUACACCACGUGGCUCAAAUUGAUUUUUAUCGGCGUAAAGCGUGAUUAAAGUUACAUUAACACUAGAGUGAAACUAAAACUAAGCCGUGACACGCUUGUAUUUAAGAAACCCAUAAACGAAAGUUACUCCAACUAUAUCAACUUGAACUCACGACAUCCGGAACACAAAC
This 403-nucleotide ribosomal RNA is filed under the name Cycloramphus bandeirensis. RNAcentral's name for it is "partial 12S ribosomal RNA". Lineage: Eukaryota; Metazoa; Chordata; Amphibia; Anura; Cycloramphidae. The record is from RNAcentral.